RNAcentral lists this ribosomal RNA (424 nucleotides) under uncultured fungus. RNAcentral's name for it is "eukaryotic LSU rRNA". It matches the Rfam family "Eukaryotic large subunit ribosomal RNA", at positions 1 to 422 of the family's 3401-position model. Lineage: Eukaryota; Fungi. The record is from RNAcentral.
GACCUCGGAUCAGGUAGGGAUACCCGCUGAACUUAAGCAUAUCAAUAAGCGGAGGAAAAGAAACCAACUGGGAUUGCCUCAGUAACGGCGAGUGAAGCGGCAUCAGCUCAGAUUUGAAAUCUGGUUCUUUCAGAGCCCGAGUUGUAAUCUGUAGAGGAGUCUUCGGGUUUGGAUCUGGCCUAAGUUUCUUGGAACAGAACGUCAUAGAGGGUGAGAGUCCCGUAUGAGGCCAGCUACCUAUUCCCAUGUGAAGCUUCUUCGACGAGUCGAGUUGUUUGGGAAUGCAGCUCAAAAUGGGCGGUAAAUUUCAUCUAAAGCUAAAUAUUGGCGGGAGACCGAUAGCGCACAAGUAGAGUGAUCGAAAGAUGAAAAGCACUUUGAAAAGAGAGUUAAACAGUACGUGAAAUUGUUGAAAGGGAAGCGC